RNAcentral lists this ribosomal RNA (365 nucleotides) under uncultured fungus. Its description in RNAcentral is "eukaryotic LSU rRNA". The stretch from base 1 to 71 matches the Rfam family "5.8S ribosomal RNA", at positions 84 to 154 of the family's 154-position model. The record is from RNAcentral. Lineage: Eukaryota; Fungi.
GUGAGUCAUCGAAUCUUUGAACGCACCUUGCGCUCCUUGGUAUUCCGAGGAGCAUGCCUGUUUGAGUGUCAUGAAUAUCUCAACUCUUCAUUUGCCUCAUCGCAUUUAUUGAGCUUGGACUUGGAGGUUGCUGGCGAAAGUCAGCUCCUCUCUAAAUGCAUUAGCAGGAUAGAUGAGUACAGAUCCUCAGUGUGAUAAUGUCUACGCUGUGAGUCCGUACUCGAAUGUUACCACAAACCUCUGAAAAGAGUGUGUCUACUAUCAUUGAUAGAAGUGUAGCUGCUAUUCUCUGCUUCAAACCGUCUGCAAAGACAAACUCAUUCAACUUUGACCUCAAAUCAGGUAGGACUACCCGCUGAACUUAA